Molecule: ribosomal RNA, 252 nt
Filed under: uncultured bacterium
Lineage: Bacteria
Description: partial 16S ribosomal RNA
Rfam family: Bacterial small subunit ribosomal RNA
Source: RNAcentral
UACGUAGGGGGCUAGCGUUAUCCGGAAUUACUGGGCGUAAAGGGCGCGUAGGUGGUUUCUUAAGUCAGAGGUGAAAGGCUACGGCUCAACCGUAGUAAGCCUUUGAAACUGGGAAACUUGAGUGCAGGAGAGGAGAGUGGAAUUCCUAGUGUAGCGGUGAAAUGCGUAGAUAUUAGGAGGAACACCAGCUGCGAAGGCGGCUCUCUGGACUGUAACUGACACUGAGGCACGAAAGCGUGGGGAGCAAACAGG